GGGCCAACAUCUAAUUGAUUUUAAGUUAAGGUUUAGGUCAAUGCAAUAUACAGGAUGGUAGUUUGUGGGCCAAGGAAGGGUGAUGAAAUCUCUACCUUAUCUUGUUUAGGGUUUGUGCCCUUAACAUGUUUUAUGGACUUAUGUAAUGCAAGAAGAAAAGAUGACUAGAUUUGAUAGUUAGUUAAGAGUAAAUUGAUUUAUUUUAUUUUUUAAGUUUUGUGAUUAAGUAUCUAAUUCCUUAAAUAGA
Molecule: long non-coding RNA, 247 nt
Filed under: Elaeis guineensis (African oil palm)
Lineage: Eukaryota; Viridiplantae; Streptophyta; Magnoliopsida; Arecales; Arecaceae
Description: long non-coding RNA (EGUI_LNC058202)
Source: RNAcentral